UACAGAGGUCUCAAGCGUUGUUCGGAUUCAUUGGGCGUAAAGGGUGUGUAGGUGGCGCGCUAAGUCGGGUGUGAAAUCUCGGAGCUUAACUCCGAAACUGCAUUCGAUACUGCCGUGCUUGAGGACUGGAGAGGAGACUGGAAUUUACGGUGUAGCGGUGAAAUGCGUAGAUAUCGGAAGGAACACCAGUAGCGAAGGCGGCUUCCUGGACUGUAACUGACACUGAGGCGCGAAAGCGUGGGGGGCAAACAGG
This 253-nucleotide ribosomal RNA is filed under the name uncultured prokaryote. Its description in RNAcentral is "partial 16S ribosomal RNA". It matches the Rfam family "Bacterial small subunit ribosomal RNA", at positions 524 to 776 of the family's 1533-position model. The record is from RNAcentral.